RNAcentral lists this ribosomal RNA (422 nucleotides) under uncultured Peptoniphilus sp. Its description in RNAcentral is "bacterial SSU rRNA". It matches the Rfam family "Bacterial small subunit ribosomal RNA", at positions 64 to 504 of the family's 1533-position model. Lineage: Bacteria; Bacillati; Bacillota; Tissierellia; Tissierellales; Peptoniphilaceae. The record is from RNAcentral.
GAACCCUUCGGGGCGAAGAUAAAGUGGAUUAGCGGCGGACGGGUGAGUAACACGUGAGUAACCUGCCUUAGACAUUGGGAUAGCCUCGGGAAACCGGGAUUAAUACCAAAUAAAAUCAUAAUGACACAUGUCAUAACGAUCAAAACUCCGGUGGUCUAAGAUGGACUCGCGUCCCAUUAGCUAGUUGGUAGAGUAAAAGCCUACCAAGGCGACGAUGGGUAGCCGGCCUGAGAGGGUGAACGGCCACAUUGGAACUGAGAAACGGUCCAAACUCCUACGGGAGGCAGCAGUGGGGAAUAUUGCACAAUGGAGGGAACUCUGAUGCAGCGACGCCGCGUGAACGAAGAAGGCUUUCGAGUCGUAAAGUUCUUUUAUAUGGGAAGAUAAUGACGGUACCAUAAGAAAAAGCCCCGGCUAACUAC